CCUACGGGAGGCAGCAGUGAGGAAUAUUGGUCAAUGGCCGUAAGGCUGAACCAGCCACGUCGCGUGCAGGAAGAAGGAUCUAUGGUUUGUAAACUUCUUUUAUAGGGGAGUAAAGUUAUCCACGUGUGUGUUUUUGCAUGUACCCUAUGUAUAAGCAUCGGCUAACUCCGUGCCAGCAGCAGCGGUACUACGGAGGAUGCGACCGUUAUCCGGAUUUAUUGGGUUUAAAGGGUGCGUAGGUUGGUUUUUAAGUCAGCGGUGAAAGUUUGUGGCUUAACCAUAACAUUGCCGUUGAUACUGGAAGACUGGAGUGUGAUAGAGGUAGGCGGAAUGCGUGGUGUAGCGGUGAAAUGCAUAGAUAUCACGAAGAACACCGAUUGCGAAGGCAGCUUACUAAGCUGCCACUGACAUUGAUGCUCGAAAGUGUGGGUAUCAAACAGGAUUAGAUACCCUUGUAGUC
Molecule: ribosomal RNA, 460 nt
Filed under: uncultured bacterium
Lineage: Bacteria
Description: partial 16S ribosomal RNA
Rfam family: Bacterial small subunit ribosomal RNA
Source: RNAcentral